Terramyces sp. JEL0728 is the source of this 72-nucleotide non-coding RNA. The record is from the annotation of a GenBank genome assembly. Lineage: Eukaryota; Fungi; Chytridiomycota; Chytridiomycetes; Rhizophydiales; Terramycetaceae.
GGGUUGAUAGCACAACGGUAGUGCAUCCGACUCCAGAUCGGAAGGUUGGGGGUUCAAAUCCCUCUCGGCUCU